Molecule: transfer RNA, 75 nt
Filed under: Cerasibacillus sp.
Lineage: Bacteria; Bacillati; Bacillota; Bacilli; Caryophanales; Bacillaceae
Also listed under: 2 other names
Description: tRNA-Glu
Rfam family: tRNA
About the family: Transfer RNA (tRNA) molecules are approximately 80 nucleotides in length.
Source: RNAcentral
GGCCCGUUGGUCAAGCGGUUAAGACAUCGCCCUUUCACGGCGGUAUCAGGGGUUCGAAUCCCCUACGGGUCACCA